Molecule: ribosomal RNA, 473 nt
Filed under: uncultured bacterium
Lineage: Bacteria
Description: partial 16S ribosomal RNA
Rfam family: Bacterial small subunit ribosomal RNA
Source: RNAcentral
GAUAAACGCUGGCGGCGCACAUAAGACAUGCAAGUUGAACGGACUUAAUCGAAAUAUUUAUCUUUUGAAGCGGUUAGUGGCGGACUGGUGAGUAACGCGUAAGGAACCUGCCUAUUAGAGGGGAAUAACAGUGAGAAAUCAUUGCUAAUACCGCAUAUGCCAUAGAUAUCACAUGAUAACAGUGGGAAAGGAGCAAUCCGCUAAUAGAUGGCCUUGCGUCUGAUUAGAUAGUUGGUGGGGUAACGGCCUACCAGGUCGACGAUCAGUAGCCGGACUGAGAGGUUGAACGGCCACAUUGGGACUGAGAUACGGCCCAGACUCCUACGGGAGGCAGCAGUCGGGAAUAUUGCGCAAUGGAGGAAACUCUGACGCAGUGACGCCGCGUAUAGGAAGAAGGUUUUCGGAUUGUAAACUAUUGUCGUUAGGGAAGAGAAAGGACAGUACCUAAGGAGGAAGCUCCGGCUAACUACGUG